ACUCCUACGGGAGGCAGCAGUGGGGAAUUUUGCGCAAUGGGCGAAAGCCUGACGCAGCAACGCCGCGUGAGUGAUGAAGGCUUUCGGGUCGUAAAGCUCUGUCAAUGGGAAAGAAGUGUAUUGCAGCUAAUAUCUGCGAUACUUGACGGUACCCAUAAAGGAAGCACCGGCUAACUCCGUGCCAGCAGCCGCGGUAAUACGGGGGGUGCAAGCGUUGUUCGGAAUUAUUGGGCGUAAAGCGCGUGUAGGCGGUUUGUUAAGUCUGUUGUGAAAGCCCUGGGCUCAACCCAGGAAGUGCACUGGAUACUGGCAGACUUGAAUACGGGAGAGGGUAGUGGAAUUCCUGGUGUAGGAGUGAAAUCCGUAGAUAUCAGGAGGAACACCGGUGGCGAAGGCGGCUACCUGGACCGAUAUUGACGCUGAGACGCGAAAGCGUGGGUAGCAAACAGGAUUAGAUACCCUGGUAGUCCACGCCGUAAACGAUGAGAACUAGGUGUCGCGGGGUA
RNAcentral lists this ribosomal RNA (506 nucleotides) under uncultured Geobacter sp. RNAcentral describes it as "bacterial SSU rRNA". It matches the Rfam family "Bacterial small subunit ribosomal RNA", at positions 335 to 832 of the family's 1533-position model. Lineage: Bacteria; Pseudomonadati; Thermodesulfobacteriota; Desulfuromonadia; Geobacterales; Geobacteraceae. The record is from RNAcentral.